Molecule: long non-coding RNA, 446 nt
Filed under: Trifolium pratense (red clover)
Lineage: Eukaryota; Viridiplantae; Streptophyta; Magnoliopsida; Fabales; Fabaceae
Description: long non-coding RNA (TPRA_LNC002164)
Source: RNAcentral
UUCAAUAUAUUUUCUUUAAACCCUAGAGUUGAUCAUGUUAAUCAAUCAAGAAAAUACUUUAGCCAUAAGCGGAAGCGUACCUGAGUUUGAGUUCGCCAUAGGUGAUGAUCAAAGGUCACGGGUAUGUUUGAUCUUCCAACCGCAGAAUUCCUUAUUGGCUCCUGAAACCUCCUCUGAUGGGGAUGAAGAGAGAACUUUUGUAUGAGCGCCGUUUUCACGUUAUUCUGCAAUUGGGGACCAUAACCCCAAUAAAUAACCUUAGGGUUAUUUCCUAUUUUUCAAUUCUCUAAUUUGGCCCCUCAUCAAAUUAGAUAUUGACUUAUGGUAUCUACACAAUAAAUUGUCUUUCAUGAUAUUUAUGCUUUUAGCCAUAGACUUAUAUAUUACUAAUUAGACCACUGAUGCUUUGGCUAAUUACAUAAUGACCCUAACACAUGUAACAUUAC